GAUGAAUUUGGUGGUUACUUUAAUGAAGUUGUGCACUCAUAACUUAAUAAGUAACUGUGAUGGAUUUUAGAUUUUGGAUCUUUGUCAAAUAAUUAUUUAAUUGUGUUAUUUUCUUGAUUGCUAAUGAAUUAAAGGAUUAUGGUGGAACUGUGGGAGUUAAUGCACAAAUUAAAUUCCACAAUAAAUUUGGCUUGUACUUUUCAAGUAACAUGAAGAUUGAAGACACAUAGACUUGUGGAAGAUUCAAUCAGUGCAUUCAUAGAUACAUUCGACAGGGGUUUAUGGGUGUGAUUAAUUUUCUUUUGUAGUCUUGGGCAUGUGGAAUGAUAACCCAUGCAGCACACACACUGAGAGAUUAGAAUAAUAAAUGUAGAAAGAGAGAGAAUAACAAGAAAUAAGGAAUUUUAUGUGGUUCAGCAAUGUGUCAUGGCUUAUGGAGAGCCACCUGCAAUUUUUCACUAUUAAGGAAAAGAUUACAAGUGGCUAUUUAUAGAUGCUAGACUUUUACUUCUACAUGCAAGGAUAGGAUGAACUUAGCUCCUCUGCUCCCCACUCUUUUUUCUUUCCCUGGAGCUUUUAGAAUGCAGCAUCUUCU
This 595-nucleotide unclassified non-coding RNA is filed under the name Hevea brasiliensis (rubber tree). Lineage: Eukaryota; Viridiplantae; Streptophyta; Magnoliopsida; Malpighiales; Euphorbiaceae. The record is from RNAcentral.